Pelodiscus sinensis (Chinese soft-shelled turtle) is the source of this 357-nucleotide non-coding RNA. NCBI's taxonomy places the organism in Eukaryota, Metazoa, Chordata, Testudines, Trionychidae. The record is from the annotation of a RefSeq genome assembly.
AUGAUCUCCCAGACUCAGUUUCUCUGGCUCCUUGUGCUCUGCAUUCAGGACUCCAGUGGGCAGAUGGUGCUGACUCAGACUCCAGAAUCCCUGGCAGUGUUUCCUGGAGACACAGUCACUAUCCGCUGCAAAGCCAGUUCCAGUGUUGGCAGAUGGAUGUCCUGGUGCCAACAGAAAUUAGGUCAAGUGCCUAAACUCCUCAUCCACACCGCCUCCACCCGUCUCUCUGGGGUUCCAGACCGGUUCAGCGGUAGUGGGUCUGGCACCGACUUCACAUUCACCAUCCGCAGGGUUGAAGCAGAUGAUGCUGGAGAUUAUUACUGUCAGAAUCAUAACAACUCCCCUUGCACACAGUGA